CAGCCGCCGCGGGAAUACGGAGGGUGCAAGCGUUAAUCGGAAUUACUGGGCGUAAAGCGCACGCAGGCGGUUUGUUAAGUCAGAUGUGAAAUCCCCGAGCUUAACUUGGGAUCUGCAUUUGAAACUGGCAAGCUAGAGUCUUGUAGAGGUGGGUAGAAUUCCAGGUGUAGCGGCGAAAUGCGUAGAGAUCUGGAGGAAUACCGGUGGCGAAGGCGGCCCCCUGGACAAAGACUGACGCUCAGGUGCGAAAGCGUGGGGAGCAAACAGGAUUAGAUACCCGCGUAGUCCCUGUCUCUUAUAU
RNAcentral lists this ribosomal RNA (301 nucleotides) under uncultured bacterium. Its description in RNAcentral is "partial 16S ribosomal RNA". It matches the Rfam family "Bacterial small subunit ribosomal RNA", at positions 509 to 809 of the family's 1533-position model. The record is from RNAcentral.